Molecule: non-coding RNA, 1918 nt
Organism: Leptonychotes weddellii (Weddell seal)
Lineage: Eukaryota; Metazoa; Chordata; Mammalia; Carnivora; Phocidae
Source: RefSeq, a predicted model, not a curated record
CCUCCAGCAACCCUCGGUCUGUUUCCUAGAGUUCAGCCUCUCCUGUGGUUUGUCUCCUGACAGAGAAAUGUGCCUCCAAGCUCGGAGGAGGGAACUUCUGUGCUUUCUAAGUUUUCCAUAUUCUGUCUGAAGUGUAAAUGGCCAGGAGGUAAUGAAGACCUUGCCCAGGAUUGCCGGAGACUGAAGGGCAAAGAGACACAGCAGCUUCCCAACACAUGGACUGCUGCCGAAGCUCCCCUGCCGCCCCCGGCACGGUCCACCAGCCCCCGCAACAUCCAUGGACACCCCAUGAGCUUUGCUGCAGCAUCUGUGAGGGAGAGGAUGGGCAGUGAACCUACAGAAAAUUCAAGACCCAGAUACUACAGUAAGCUUUUGGGUGUCGUCUGGCCAGGUAAGACGCCUGUUGUUCCAAAACCUGUGAUUAAUAAGCUGUGGGUUUAUCCAACUCCUAAGAACGAGAGAAGUGCAAGCCUUUGUUGGGGCUUGGGGGGCUCUGGGGGACUUUAAUUCCCUACCUGGCACAGUGUUCCUGUCCUUAUGCUGCCUGGCAGAGAGAGGGCUCAUGUGGGGCUGGGGGUCAGAGUAGCAGGCCACCUUCAGACAGCAAAAGUACUAGUAAAACAGAUGAAAGCUCUGGGCAUCUCCUAAGCAGGGCUGCCAUUUGCGUCAGAGGCGUCCAUGACCCCGGAAGCUAGGAGUCAGGCACUGGGGCAGACAACAGAAGGAAAGAUUACCCCUGCACUUUGGUCCCAGCUCUGGGAGGGGACAGAAAGCUGAUCCACUCCCUUACAGAACGCUAGCUCCUAGCAGUGUCCGCAGCACUCCCCCAGGGGGACCCUCUCACAUGGCAGUCAUGCAGCAGCUGGGGGCUGAGUUCAGAGUGGACUGGCUGGUGAUCACCCAUGAGCCCAUGCUGCUGGCCCCUUGCACGGACAGCAGGCCUGCUCUAAACGGAUGAACCCUAUGUCUUGGACAAUGGGAAGCUGAGGGGUGGAUGAUCAUGAAUAAACCCUUGCAGGACCAGAAUGCGUGGAAAGGCCCUUGGGUCCAUCCGUAAGAGUCUGAGGCAUCCUCCCUGCCUUCUACCUUCUGGUUCAUAAGGCACUGACCAUAGCUUCACCAUCGGGGACCUGAAACCCCAGCUACUGAUCCUUUGGUAGAUACAGCAGAUCGGGUGCAUAGAAAGAGCAACCACCAUAACACCAAGGUGGGAUGGCACAUUGCCAAGGAUGCCAGAUUGCCCUUGAAGUACAGUGACUAGGUUAAUGCAGUAUCACCAUGUCCUGUGUGUUUUCCACAAUGGCCUCCCCCUGCACCCCCCCCUCCCCCGGCUACUGCCGGAGGAGUCUAGGACCAUCCUCUGGACUUCCUAGCCAGUGAGAGAUUGACAAAUUGACUGUAUUGCCCCACUCCCUCCAAGUGAGGAUUCUAAAUAUGCCUUGAGAACAGGACAUUGGAUGAGAGUUUCAUCUUCCCUAUAACUCACAGGGGUAAUGGAAAGGAAAAAUGAAUACUAGAGCAGCAGAUCAAAUUACUAGUAUGGAAAACCAUGUUAGUUGAGUGAACUAACCAACCAUCUCAGACUUCUAUAUAUUUGAUCAAGUACAAGGGCUGUUCCCAGGCCAGACUGGGAACCCUACUAGGCACCCAGUACCGUAAAGGUACGGAAGUUGCAAGAAACUAUGGAUUGACCUGCUGUGCUCCUGAGAACAGCAAGCCUCAUCCCACCUGGAAAAGGCAUCAGCUACUGGAAUUUGCAGUGGGAGGUCCCCUGGAAUGGAUCAAUGACGUGAAGAUGGCAGCCCUUCCGUUCACUGACACCAUUCAGAAACUCCCCGACUGCACAAUAGCCAUGGGUUGGUCAAGGAAAUGAGUGCAUCUGCAGUGAGAAAGACCAUGAGCCACCUGACUGGAUGGA